AACGUUAUUGAAAGAAAUUGAAGAAGACUUAAAUAAAUGGAAAGAUAUCCCAUAUUUGUGGUUUGGAAGACUUAGUAUUGUUAAGGUGGCAAUGUCAUGUAUUAGCCAAAGCCAU
Non-coding RNA from Ceratotherium simum simum (southern white rhinoceros), 115 nucleotides. The record is from RefSeq and is a predicted model, not a curated record. NCBI's taxonomy places the organism in Eukaryota, Metazoa, Chordata, Mammalia, Perissodactyla, Rhinocerotidae.